RNAcentral lists this ribosomal RNA (372 nucleotides) under uncultured organism. RNAcentral's name for it is "bacterial SSU rRNA". It matches the Rfam family "Bacterial small subunit ribosomal RNA", at positions 526 to 896 of the family's 1533-position model. The record is from RNAcentral.
CGAAGGGUGCAAGCGUUGCUCGGAAUUAUUGGGCGUAAAGGGUAGGUAGGUGGUAAUAAAAGUCUGGGGUGAAAUCCCUGAGCUCAACUCAGGACGUGCCUUGGAAACUUUAUUACUAGAGUGCUGGAGAGGUUCGCAGAAUUCCCGGUGUAGCGGUGAAAUGCGUAGAGAUCGGGAGGAAUACCAGAGGCGAAGGCGGCGAACUGGACAGUAACUGACACUCAACUACGAAAGCGUGGGUAGCAAACAGGAUUAGAUACCCUGGUAGUCCACGCUGUAAACGAUCGGUACUAGAGUUCGUGGGAGUUGACCCCUGCGGACUCGGAGCUAACGCGAUAAGUACCGCGCCUGGGAAGUACGGUCGCAAGACUA